GGGUUGUGAGGUUAAGCGACUAAGCGUACACGGUGGAUGCCCUGGCAGUCAGAGGCGAUGAAGGACGUGCUAAUCUGCGAAAAGCGCCGGCGAGGUGAUAUGAACCUUUGACCCGGCGAUGUCCGAAUGGGGAAACCCAGUGCAAUUCGUUGCACUAUCGUUUGAUGAAUACAUAGUCAAACGAGGCGAACCGGGGGAACUGAAACAUCUAAGUACCCCGAGGAAAAGAAAUCAACCGAGAUUCCCCCAGUAGCGGCGAGCGAACGGGGAGCAGCCCAGAGCCUGAAUCAGCUUGUGUGUUAGUGGAAGCGUCUGGAAAGUCGCGCGAUACAGGGUGACAGCCCCGUACACGAAAGCACACAGGCUGUGAGCUCGAUGAGUAGGGCGGGACACGUGGUAUCCUGUCUGAAUAUGGGGGGACCAUCCUCCAAGGCUAAAUACUCCUGACUGACCGAUAGUGAACCAGUACCGUGAGGGAAAGGCGAAAAGAACCCCGGCGAGGGGAGUGAAAAAGAACCUGAAACCGUGUACGUACAAGCAGUGGGAGCCUCUUAAUGGGGUGACUGCGUACCUUUUGUAUAAUGGGUCAGCGACUUAUAUUCUGUAGCAAGGUUAACCGAAUAGGGGAGCCGAAGGGAAACCGAGUCUUAACUGGGCGUUAAGUUGCAGGGUAUAGACCCGAAACCCGGUGAUCUAGCCAUGGGCAGGUUGAAGGUUGGGUAACACUAACUGGAGGACCGAACCGACUAAUGUUGAAAAAUUAGCGGAUGACUUGUGGCUGGGGGUGAAAGGCCAAUCAAACCGGGAGAUAGCUGGUUCUCCCCGAAAGCUAUUUAGGUAGCGCCUCGUGAAUUCAUCUCCGGGGGUAGAGCACUGUUUCGGCUAGGGGGCCAUCCCGGCUUACCAACCCGAUGCAAACUACGAAUACCGGAGAAUGUUAUCACGGGAGACACACGGCGGGUGCUAACGUCCGUCGUGAAGAGGGAAACAACCCAGACCGCCAGCUAAGGUCCCAAAGUCAUGGUUAAGUGGGAAACGAUGUGGGAAGGCACAGACAGCCAGGAUGUUGGCUUAGAAGCAGCCAUCAUUUAAAGAAAGCGUAAUAGCUCACUGGUCGAGUCGGCCUGCGCGGAAGAUGUAACGGGGCUAAACCAUGCACCGAAGCUGCGGCAGCGACACUAAGUGUUGUUGGGUAGGGGAGCGUUCUGUAAGCCUGCGAAGGUGUGCUGUGAGGCAUGCUGGAGGUAUCAGAAGUGCGAAUGCUGACAUAAGUAACGAUAAAGCGGGUGAAAAGCCCGCUCGCCGGAAGACCAAGGGUUCCUGUCCAACGUUAAUCGGGGCAGGGUGAGUCGACCCCUAAGGCGAGGCCGAAAGGCGUAGUCGAUGGGAAACAGGUUAAUAUUCCUGUACUUGGUGUUACUGCGAAGGGGGGACGGAGAAGGCUAUGUUAGCCGGGCGACGGUUGUCCCGGUUUAAGCAUGUAGGCUGGUUAUCCAGGCAAAUCCGGAUAAUCAAGGCUGAGGUGUGAUGACGAGUCACUACGGUGAUGAAGUAACAAAUGCCCUGCUUCCAGGAAAAGCCUCUAAGCAUCAGGUAACACGAAAUCGUACCCCAAACCGACACAGGUGGUCAGGUAGAGAAUACCAAGGCGCUUGAGAGAACUCGGGUGAAGGAACUAGGCAAAAUGGUGCCGUAACUUCGGGAGAAGGCACGCUGAUAUGUAGGUGAAGCCCCUGCGGGUGGAGCUGAAAUCAGUCGAAGAUACCAGCUGGCUGCAACUGUUUAUUAAAAACACAGCACUGUGCAAACACGAAAGUGGACGUAUACGGUGUGACGCCUGCCCGGUGCCGGAAGGUUAAUUGAUGGGGUUAUCCGUAAGGAGAAGCUCUUGAUCGAAGCCCCGGUAAACGGCGGCCGUAACUAUAACGGUCCUAAGGUAGCGAAAUUCCUUGUCGGGUAAGUUCCGACCUGCACGAAUGGCGUAAUGAUGGCCAGGCUGUCUCCACCCGAGACUCAGUGAAAUUGAACUCGCUGUGAAGAUGCAGUGUACCCGCGGCAAGACGGAAAGACCCCGUGAACCUUUACUAUAGCUUGACACUGAACAUUGAGCCUUGAUGUGUAGGAUAGGUGGGAGGCUUUGAAGUGUGGACGCCAGUCUGCAUGGAGCCAACCUUGAAAUACCACCCUUUAAUGUUUGAUGUUCUAACGUGGACCCGUGAUCCGGGUUGCGGACAGUGUCUGGUGGGUAGUUUGACUGGGGCGGUCUCCUCCCAAAGAGUAACGGAGGAGCACGAAGGUUGGCUAAUCCUGGUCGGACAUCAGGAGGUUAGUGCAAUGGCAUAAGCCAGCUUGACUGCGAGCGUGACGGCGCGAGCAGGUGCGAAAGCAGGUCAUAGUGAUCCGGUGGUUCUGAAUGGAAGGGCCAUCGCUCAACGGAUAAAAGGUACUCCGGGGAUAACAGGCUGAUACCGCCCAAGAGUUCAUAUCGACGGCGGUGUUUGGCACCUCGAUGUCGGCUCAUCACAUCCUGGGGCUGAAGUAGGUCCCAAGGGUAUGGCUGUUCGCCAUUUAAAGUGGUACGCGAGCUGGGUUUAGAACGUCGUGAGACAGUUCGGUCCCUAUCUGCCGUGGGCGCUGGAGAAUUGAGGGGGGCUGCUCCUAGUACGAGAGGACCGGAGUGGACGCAUCACUGGUGUUCGGGUUGUCAUGCCAAUGGCACUGCCCGGUAGCUACAUGCGGAAGAGAUAAGUGCUGAAAGCAUCUAAGCACGAAACUUGCCCCGAGAUGAGUUCUCCCUUGGACUUUAAGUCCACUAAAGGAACGUUGAAGACGACGACGUUGAUAGGCCGGGUGUGUAAGCGCAGCGAUGCGUUGAGCUAACCGGUACUAAUGAACCGUGAGGCUUAACCUUACAACGCCGAAG
Molecule: ribosomal RNA, 2923 nt
Filed under: Phytobacter diazotrophicus
Lineage: Bacteria; Pseudomonadati; Pseudomonadota; Gammaproteobacteria; Enterobacterales; Enterobacteriaceae
Description: 23S ribosomal RNA
Rfam family: Bacterial large subunit ribosomal RNA
Source: RNAcentral